Molecule: ribosomal RNA, 507 nt
Filed under: uncultured bacterium
Lineage: Bacteria
Description: bacterial SSU rRNA
Rfam family: Bacterial small subunit ribosomal RNA
Source: RNAcentral
UAUGGCUCAGGAUGAACGCUAGCGGCAGGCUUAACACAUGCAAGUCGAGGGGCAUCGGGAGUAGCAAUACUUGCCGGCGACCGGCGCAAGGGUGCGUAACGCGUGAGCAACAUGCCCGUAUCAGGGGGAUAAUCCAUGGAAACGUGGUCUAAUACCCCAUAGUAAUUAUGUAAGGCAUCUUAUAUAAUUUAAAGCUUUGGUGGAUACGGAUUGGCUCGCGUGACAUUAGCUGGAUGGUAAGGUAACGGCUUACCAUGGCUACGAUGUCUAGGGGUUCCUGAGAGGAGGGUCCCCCACACUGGAACUGAGACACGGUCCAGACUCCUACGGGAGGCAGCAGUGAGGAAUAUUGGACAAUGGAUGGAAAUCUGAUCCAGCCAUGCCGCGUGCCAGGAAGACGGCCCUAUGGGUUGUAAACUGCUUUUGUAUGGGAGCAAUAAGGGCUACGUGUAGUCCGAUGAGAGUACCAUACGAAUAAGCACCGGCUAACUCCGUGCCAGCCGCCGC